AGAGUUUGAUCCUGGCUCAGGAUGAACGCUGGCGGCGUGCUUAACACAUGCAAGUCGAACGGAGCGUCUUUGAUGGAGGAUUCGUCCAACUGAUAAGAUUGCUUAGUGGCGGACGGGUGAGUAACGCGUGGGUAACCUGCCCUGUACACACGGAUAACAUACCGAAAGGUAUGCUAAUACGAGAUAAUAUGCUUUUAUCGCAUGGUAGAAGUAUCAAAGCUUUUGCGGUACAGGAUGGACCCGCGUCUGAUUAGCUAGUUGGUAAGGUAACGGCUUACCAAGGCGACGAUCAGUAGCCGACCUGAGAGGGUGAUCGGCCACAUUGGAACUGAGACACGGUCCAAACUCCUACGGGAGGCAGCAGUGGGGAAUAUUGCACAAUGGGCGAAAGCCUGAUGCAGCAACGCCGCGUGAGCGAUGAAGGCCUUCGGGUCGUAAAGCUCUGUCCUCAAGGAAGAUAAUGACGGUACUUGAGGAGGAAGCCCCGGCUAACUACGUGCCAGCAGCCGCGGUAAUACGUAGGGGGCGAGCGUUGUCCGGAAUGACUGGGCGUAAAGGGCGCGUAGGCGGCCUGAUAAGUUAGAGGUGAAAGUCCAGCUUUCGAGGUUGGAAUUGCCUUUAAUACUGUUGGGCUUGAGUGCGGAAGAGGUAAGUGGAAUUCCCAGUGUAGCGGUGAAAUGCGUAGAGAUUGGGAGGAACACCAGUGGCGAAGGCGACUUACUGGGCCGUAACUGACGCUGAGGCGCGAAAGCGUGGGGAGCGAACAGGAUUAGAUACCCUGGUAGUCCACGCGGUAAACGAUGAAUGCUAGGGUGUAGGGGGUAUCGACCCCUCCUGUGCCGGAGUAAACACAAUAAGCAUUCCGCCUGGGGAGUACGGCCGCAAGGUUGAAACUCAAAGGAAUUGACGGGGACCCGCACAAGUAGCGGAGCAUGUGGUUUAAUUCGAAGCAACGCGAAGAACCUUACCUAAGCUUGACAUCCUUUUGACCUCUCCCUAAUCGGAGAUUUCCCUUCGGGGACAGAAGUGACAGGUGGUGCAUGGUUGUCGUCAGCUCGUGUCGUGAGAUGUUGGGUUAAGUCCCGCAACGAGCGCAACCCUUGCCUUUAGUUGCCAUCAUUAAGUUGGGCACUCUAGAGGGACUGCCAGGGAUAACCUGGAGGAAGGUGGGGAUGACGUCAAAUCAUCAUGCCCCUUAUGCUUAGGGCUACACACGUGCUACAAUGGGUGGUACAGAGGGCAGCCAAGUCGUGAGGCGGAGCUAAUCCCUUAAAGCCAUUCUCAGUUCGGAUUGUAGGCUGAAACUCGCCUACAUGAAGCUGGAGUUACUAGUAAUCGCAGAUCAGAAUGCUGCGGUGAAUGCGUUCCCGGGUCUUGCACUCACCGCCCGUCA
RNAcentral lists this ribosomal RNA (1393 nucleotides) under uncultured bacterium. Its description in RNAcentral is "16S ribosomal RNA". It matches the Rfam family "Bacterial small subunit ribosomal RNA". The record is from RNAcentral.